RNAcentral lists this ribosomal RNA (553 nucleotides) under uncultured archaeon. RNAcentral describes it as "bacterial SSU rRNA". It matches the Rfam family "Archaeal small subunit ribosomal RNA", at positions 325 to 879 of the family's 1478-position model. The record is from RNAcentral.
ACGUGGUGCAGCAGGCGCGAAAACUUCGCACUGCGCGAAAGCGCGACGAGGGAAUCCCAAGUGUAUGCACGUAAGUGUAUACUGUUUCUCUGUCUAAAAAGCAGAGAGAGUAAGAGCUGGGUAAGACUGGUGCCAGCCGCCGCGGUAAUACCUGCAGCUCGAGUGGUGAUCGUUAUUAUUGGGCCUAGAACGUCCGUAGCCGGUCUUAUAAAUGCCUGGGUAAAUCGUAUGGCUUAACCAUACGAAUUCCGGGUAGACUGUUUGACUUGAGACCGGGAGAAGCUAGAGGUACUCCUGGGGUAGAGGUGAAAUUCUGUAAUCCUAGGGGGACCACCAGUGGCGAAGGCGUCUAGCUAGAACGGGUCUGACGGUGAGGGACGAAGCCCUGGGGCGCAAACGGGAUUAGAUACCCCGGUAGUCCAGGGUGUAAACGCUGCUUGCUUGAUGUUGGUUGAGCUCCGAGCCCAAUCAGUGUCGGAGAGAAGUUGUUAAGCAAGCUGCCUGGGAAGUACGGCCGCAAGACUGAAACUUAAAGGAAUUGGCGGGGGAGCAC